CCAUCUCACCUGCCUUUCCUGCCUCAGGGCCCUGAGCCCUGCCGGCUCAUAUUCCCCUCUGAGCAACCUCACAUAUCCUGGGGAAGCCGUUCUUAGGUGGUUAUGGUAAGAUCUUGGUCUGACCAUCUCUGCUUCCUGGCCCUCGAGUUGCUGGGGUCCUGCCAAAGUCCAUGGUCCUGGGAACUCCCCCCUGGGCCUAGCUUUCUCCAGCUGCAAGCUGCCUGCCCUGUUGAAUGCCUUGGGGUUCCUUCUGGCCCAUCCAUGAGCAGGGGUCCAAAGGCUCUCUCCUUCAGGAAAGGGCCUAGCAUUUUGCUCCUCCACAAUGGCUUUGUGGGUGACCUGCCAGUUCACAUUUUCUUCAGAUUCUUCCUCAUUGUGGGGUCUGGCCCAUCUCCUGGGCCUCUGGGAAUUUCAGGCCCUGCCCCCUCCCUCCUUCCUUGUCUGCAGCUCCUGAGGCCUGCUCUCUUGGAGGUAGCACCCGGUUCCUCCUAGGCCCUUUAACCACAGGAAGAAAAGAACAGAUAUCCCAGGGAUAUCAACUGAACAUGACAUCACAAGAUGCAAUAAGACUAGGCGUCCAUCCUAGCUGACCUCUGAAAUGGAGAAACCUAAAGGAAACAGGCGGGACUUUGCCUCCCCAGCCCCAGGAAUGGCUUUUCUGUGGCCACCUCUGAGCUCUCUGUCAAGCCCUCCCACACACUUCAAGAUUGGUGCCUGGAGCCCCGAGCAGGCCUCUUGUGGCCCGGGCUCUGCUGAGAAUGCCAUCGGGGGACACACAGCCCAGUCUCCUGGGAACCAUAGGAAAUCUGGGUUAGAGCAGGAUUCGGGACACCUUUGGGCCGGCCUAGGCCUCUUUUAUUCCACUCCUCUUUCCCCACACCCAACCCUCCACCCCAGUCUGUCACCUCCACCGUCGCCCUGGUCUCCCAGCCUCUGUGGAGCUGGGACCUUUUUGGGGCUACAACUGAAAGAUAAAAUAAAAUAAAAUAAAAUAAAAUAAAAGCUUCUCCACUCAGGCCCAAUGCUGGUUGCUUGGAGGGCUCAGCUUGCAAUGGGGCUCCUGAGGCGGGGCCCUGUGUUGGUAGCUACCAGGCUCCCUGCAGUGUCUCCAGGGCACUUCACUCUUUGAUUCUUCCCUAGGGACCCAGGGCUUAGCCAUGCUGGCUGAGGGUCCAAGCAGAGUGCUGGGUUUCCUGACUUCCACCACACUAGACCUCUUCAGGCCUGACUGCCCCUCCUGUAUCCACUUCCAUAAACAGAUGGAGCCGCCCACUGGUUUAUGAACCAAGGGUUUGGCUGACCCACUAGGAUGACCUGAAAAGGGAAGGGUGAGGAUUGGGAUUGCCCAUUUGAGCUCCAGAGCCUCUGUUUGCACAUCUGUGAAAUGGAGCCAGCUACAUCCUCUGGCCAAGUUGUAGUGUGGAAGUGAAGACCUGAGAGCCGAGGUGCCUGUCCCCUAGGCACGGCUCGCCAGGCAGUUCCAAAAGUCGGCCGAGGGCACUGCCCACGUUAGGGUUAGGCUUGCUUGCCAGAAUGAAACAAAGUACUACCGAGUAAUACAGGGAGAUGGGGAGGGGACUCUGUUGCCUGGUCAGGGAGGUGUCCUGGAAGGACAUCCCUGCUCCCACCUGUCCUUUCUGAGCUCUGAACCCAAUGGACUCCCUUCCUCCUCCUGCAUGGCUCGGGCAUGGUAGUUGCACUGUUUGCUUUCACGGCCUCCGUGCAGCUGGCAUUAGGAUGCCUGCAGGAGCUGCCGCCACUCUUUGGCUUUCUAAAGUCUCUGGGUUCUAAAUACCACCCAUAGGCUGACAGCCCUCAGGUCGCCAGACCAGAGCGGUCUUCAGCCUCUGCGUGCUUCCCUAUCAGAAGUUCAGCAGCUGCUGAGGGCCAUCCUUGUCUCUGUUUUUGUUCCCCAAAUCUUAUGCUGCAGCACCUCCCAGGAAAUUCUCCCAGAAGAGUGACCCCUCUAGGGUCCACCUGUGACCCCUCUGGGAACCCCUGGCCCCAGGCUACAAACCACACCACCUUUCCCUAGGUGGCUGUGACAGCCCCCAACUGUCUUCUGAACCAUCCCAAACACUAAGUCAGUCUCCAUGGCCCAGUGGGCACUACCGGGCAUGGCUUGGCUAUAUUCUUCAUCUGCUUGUCUUCAUAGCCUCAGGGUACCUGUUCUUCUCCCGGGGGGGGGGGGUUCCCUGAACCUCUGUUUCUCCCUGUACGUCCCAGCAACACACUGCUGUGGCAUUUGUGGCAUCUGAAUUGGGCCAAGGCCCACAUGGUGGCUCCACCCCACCUUGCUAGUGAUUGGUUUAGGAAUUGCUGCAUGACUCAGGUCCCAUCAAAGUAUGGAAGUGGGGGGUACUGAGGGGAGCGGACCAGGGCUUCCCCUAGAUGCCCUUGUAUGUCCUUGAGAUGCAGGAACUCCUAGCCUUCCCUGUAGUACUCUCUGGGAGGCUCCUGACUUGCUGGGGUGGCUAAGGGAUAAGAGUAAAAUAAAGCCAAGGAUGUCCCUGACAGCAUCUCUUGGAACUCACUUGGUGGAGUUUUUACAGGUUUAACAUGUUUUUCUAAAGCUGUCACCCUGGCACUUAAAUUGACUAUCUUUUUAAAUAGUAAAAUGAGGAUAAGCAUAGUAAUAAAAUGCAUAAUUCGAUCAACAUUAAUCUUCCCAUAUAGGUGUUCCAUUGUCAGACUGUCUAAAAUUGCAAACAAAGCCCAAUUUUCUUCCAAUGUACACAGAAAACCCAUUUUUUUUUUAAUGUGGAAAAAAAAUUUUUUCUUUUAAAUAGUUUCCUUUAAAAUAUCUGAUAUGUUAAGUGACUUACCAAGUCCUCGUAGAACAGUACCAAUCCGAGGGAAUUUCAAAACAGCCACCUAGUGUCCGAGGUGUGAGUCCAGAGAGAGAGAGAGAGAGAGAGAGAAAGAGAGAGAGAGAGAGAGAGAGAGAGAGAGAGAAAGCGUAGCCACAAGUUCUGCCUAAGAGCUUGAAUCCAGCCACGUGUUCCCGCUUGAGCUUAGUCAAGCCUUGGCUCUGACUACUUUAAACUCCAACCAUGUGCGUUGGCUUUACAGGCAGGGGCCCUGUUCGGCAGGGCAGGCCUGAGUUGUUUGUAGCACUGGCUUUAAGCAAGUAGCUCAAGGUUGGUCCGGCCUGAGGCCAAGCCGACCUGGGCCCGGGCUAGGGAGCCGGCCACCCUGGCGGGAAACCGGACCUGCCAUUAAACGGUUUUUAACGGAUUCUUGUCACGUUGGGCGCCAAAUGUAGAUGUAACCUACUGUCUUAUUAAAUAAGAAACACAGAGCCGAUUCAGAGAAGAAAGCUAAGAGGUCAGAACUAAGAGCUUUACCCUUCCUGCUUCAGCUAUCCUGCUUCAGCCAAGAGAGCUCUCUGAAAAAAGGGGCCUACUUCCUGUGUGUAUGUCUUUAAAUAGUCUAACUGUUCUGCCUUCUCAUUGGUUGUAAACCUAAACACGUGACUGCCUUGUCACUGCCUGUAUGUACCACCCUCCGGGUCCUUAAAGGCGUGCGCCACCACCGCCACGCACUUGCUAUGGCUCUAAUAGCUCUGACCCCCAGGCAACUUUAUUUAUUAACAUACAAUUAAAAAUCACAUUUCAGUACAAGUAAACUACCACCACAGAGUAAAAUAAAGCCAAGGAUGUCCCUGACAGCAUCUCUUGGAACUCACUUGGUGGAUCUUGUGUGACUUACAGCCAUGUUUCAUCACCACGCCAUCUGCAUGUCAUUCCCCACUCCUGAAGACAGUGGAAGAUUGGGGCUCAGUGUGGGGUCCCAGAGUAAGAGCUCUGUUUCUAGGUCUGAUGCAGCCACAGGGCACGUCAAUAGAAGCACA
This is a long non-coding RNA of Peromyscus eremicus (cactus mouse), 3853 nucleotides long. RefSeq lists it as uncharacterized. The record is from RefSeq and is a predicted model, not a curated record. Lineage: Eukaryota; Metazoa; Chordata; Mammalia; Rodentia; Cricetidae. The transcript has 3 exons.